UACGUAGGGUGCGAGCGUUGUCCGGAAUUAUUGGGCGUAAAGAGCUCGUAGGCGGUCUGUCGCGUCGGUCGUGAAAACUUGGGGCUUAACCCUGAGCUUGCGGUCGAUACGGGCAUGACUGGAGUUCGGUAGGGGAGACUGGAAUUCCUGGUGUAGCGGUGAAAUGCGCAGAUAUCAGGAGGAACACCGGUGGCGAAGGCGGGUCUCUGGGCCGAUACUGACGCUGAGGAGCGAAGGCGUGGGGAGCGAACAGG
This 254-nucleotide ribosomal RNA is filed under the name uncultured bacterium. RNAcentral's name for it is "partial 16S ribosomal RNA". It matches the Rfam family "Bacterial small subunit ribosomal RNA", at positions 524 to 776 of the family's 1533-position model. The record is from RNAcentral.